UUGCACGCUGGCGGCAGGCCUAACACAUGCAAGUCGAGCGGAUGAAGGGAGCUUGCUCCUGGAUUCAGCGGCGGACGGGUGAGUAAUGCCUAGGAAUCUGCCUGGUAGUGGGGGAUAACGUCCGGAAACGGGCGCUAAUACCGCAUACGUCCUGAGGGAGAAAGUGGGGGAUCUUCGGACCUCACGCUAUCAGAUGAGCCUAGGUCGGAUUAGCUAGUUGGUGGGGUAAAGGCCUACCAAGGCGACGAUCCGUAACUGGUCUGGGGGGAUAAUCAGUCACACUGGAACUGAGACACGGUCCAGACUCCUACGGGGGGCAGCGGUGGGGAAUAUUGGACAAUGGGCGAAAGCCUGAUCCAGACAUGCCGCGUGUGUGAAGAAGGUCUUCGGAUUGUAAAGCACUUUAAGUUGGGAGGAAGGGCAGUAAGUUAAUACCUUGCUGUUUUGACGUUACCAACAGAAUAAGCACCGGCUAACUUCGU
Molecule: ribosomal RNA, 482 nt
Filed under: uncultured bacterium
Lineage: Bacteria
Description: partial 16S ribosomal RNA
Rfam family: Bacterial small subunit ribosomal RNA
Source: RNAcentral